This 212-nucleotide unclassified non-coding RNA is filed under the name plant metagenome. RNAcentral describes it as "partial contains small subunit ribosomal RNA, internal transcribed spacer 1, and 5.8S ribosomal RNA". The record is from RNAcentral.
UUUCCGUAGGUGAACCUGCGGAAGGAUCAUUCAUAAUAAGUGUUUUAUGGCACUUUUUUAAAUCCAUAUCCACCUUGUGUGCAAUGUCAGGGUUGAUUUUUCUCUCGAGAGGAUCAGCCCCAAACAUCAACUAUAUCUCAACCCUUUGUCUGAAAAAUAUUAUGAAUAAACAAUUCAAAAUACAACUUUCAACAACGGAUCUCUUGGCUCUC